This 696-nucleotide RNase P RNA is filed under the name Verrucomicrobiota bacterium. Its description in RNAcentral is "RNase P RNA component class A". The stretch from base 1 to 585 matches the Rfam family "Bacterial RNase P class A". From Rfam's summary of the family: Ribonuclease P (RNase P) is a ubiquitous endoribonuclease, found in archaea, bacteria and eukarya as well as chloroplasts and mitochondria. Its best characterised activity is the generation of mature 5'-ends of tRNAs by cleaving the 5'-leader elements of precursor-tRNAs. Cellular RNase Ps are ribonucleoproteins. The record is from RNAcentral. Lineage: Bacteria; Pseudomonadati; Verrucomicrobiota.
UUGGGAGGGCGGAGGAUCGCCCCGCCCUUUCUAAAAUUGAAACCGGUCGCGACUUUCAAGGGCUUCCGUCCGGUUCCAGCGGAGUUCAACCGGCAGUUUUAGAAAGGGCGGGGAGGAAAGUCCGAACACCAGAGGGCGCGAUGCCGCGUAACCCCGCCCUUUUUAAAGCCUUGGGCAUCUCCGUCGGCGGAACCUAUGCAGUUCCGAGGGAGGAUGUUUGGCCCAGGGUUUUAGAAAGGGCGGGGAUACACGCGGGCGGCGACGUCGUGAGGCGUCCCGACGGACAGUGCCACAGAAAACAGACAGCCCGGCCCUUCUUGAAGUUGUUGAACGAAAAGUCGCCGGUCGGAGAAAUGCCCGGCACAGUCUUGACGAUUCGACAGUUUCAAGAAGGGCUGGGUGAUGGUGAAAAGGUGCGGUAAGAGCGCACCGCGCGAAGCGCGAGCGACGCGGCACGGAAAACCCCAUCGGGUGCAAGGCCAAAUAGGGAAUCCCGGAGCGGCCCGCUCCUGUCCCGCGAAAGCGGGCGGAUUCCGGGUAUCGGCUGCUGAGACAAAUGAUUCUCUCCCCGGCCCUUCUUUAAGUUGCCGGACGCUGAAAGUCCGCGAGCGCAGGCCAGGCUCGAGGAUUCCAACGGCUUGGCGAUUUCAAGAAGGGCUGGGCAGACAGAAUUCGGCUUACAGCCCUCCCAAGGCC